UACACACACACACACACACAGGAGUGACAAAUUAAAGGAAAAACAACAUAAAUUGUCGUAAUGGGAUCCGAGCAGCUUCAGUGUGUUCCUUGUCAUUCUACAGGUCUCUGGAUUUGUACUGGAGGGAUGAACAUCAUUCUUCCAAAAGAUAUACCCCUACUAGUGUUUUGGUCAUGGUUGUGCAGAACACGAACACCACAGUCCAUAAUCCUCCAUAGGUGUUCAGUUGGGUUAUAUCUGGUGAAUGUGAAGACAAUAGCAUGUGAUUUACUGCAUUUUCAUAGUCAUUAAACUAUUCAGUGAGCCAUCCUGGAGGGGGGAAGGGUCAUCCUGGAAGAGACCACUCCCAUCAGGUUAGAAAAGUUUCCUCAUGGGACGAAGGUGAUCAGCCAGGAUUGUUUUGUAGUGUUUUUUAGGGACUCUUCCCUGUUCUCAACCCUGGUCAUGGAGUACCCGUUGUCCUGUGUUUUCCUGGUCUAAAACAACUGCUUAAAUCAACCUGAUUAACAGCCCUUUGUGAAUUGAAGAGGGUGUGUUAGAGCAGGGAAAACACUUGAAUGUGCAGGACGCCAUGACCGAGACUGGGAACCUGUGUUGUAAGGGGGACAAAUGGAGCCAAGCACUGCCAGCAAAAUGCCUCUGACAGCAACAGUUUUCCUGUUUUCAUCUGUUUGCAUGUGUAUAUAUGAAGUAUAAGAUGUUAGAUUUGACAUCUGCAUAACUCGGGCAGAUUUUGAAAGUUUUUAAAAUCAGACCUCUGUAGAAAACAAGGAAACAAUUUGGGUAUCAAUCAGUUUGGUGCAAGAGUAAAAUGGGGUUUGUGUCUGGGGAAAGCCUGGACAUUCUGCUAAAGGCAGAUACUGUAAUAUUUGCAACUGUAGUAAACAGUUAUGGAGUUGUAGACUAUAAGAUUAUUAUUGUUAACAUUAAUACUUCAUUAUUGUUCAACUGAAUCCUUUCUAGGCUGAUGUGGGAAAUGUGACAGCUGCAGUAGUGAAGUGGUGAGCAGUUUGUCUCCGUAAGCGCACUGUGGGUAAUAAUCUUCUCUCUUCAUUUUUGAUAUGACGGUCAGUGUUUAUUUGUAUUUAUUCACUUAUUUUUGUAACAGUACCAGUGGUGGUAUUGGAUUGUGAACUUCAGUCCAGAUCCAGUUCAUCUCUUAGUCCAUAAAGAAUCAUGAGCUACAAUUAUUACUUCCAAAUGAGACCACAUCAUGUGAUCCAAGAUCACAUCAACUAAAAUGUUCCAUGAUGGUGUCUUCAAACUUUGUGACUAAGUUGGUCAUACUCUGUGCCAUUCACAAAAACCUUCUUCCCUCAAAAGGCUGGUGACAUUGUGCUCUACUAACAGAUUCAGGUCCACUUUAGGAGGACUAAACAAAAAAAAGGUCAGUGGCAUAGCCAUGCGGUGUAGCUAUACCAGCCCAUUUCUCUGAGGUGCUGGACAGAAGCAGCCGCUGCUCCACCCCAGCUCUUUAUUGAGCAGCUCCUGCUGCUUUUUUCUGGCCUGCCAGUGCUGUGCGAGUGGCUCCAGGAAGAGAGAGACUGAUGAGAGCAGGUAACACACACCAGCCAAGUAAAAGGAGCAGUCGUAGGUUCGGGUGUAGUCAUACAGAAAACCUGGGGGAUACGAGUGAGGAGUCAAACAUGUGCUGCUGUUGAUACAGUUCAUGGAGGACAUCUUUGAGCAAGACUAUAUUUAGCAAGGUUCAAUUUACUGCUCAGUAAAAACUGCAAGAUUUUCCUCACACCAUAAAAAAGAUAUUUCAUUACAAAGAAUAACACUACAUUUAUUCACAUAAAAUAAAAUUAAAACAAAUUUGAAAAAGAAAAAUGCUUGCAUCUAAGAAUGUCUUUCUGUUAUGGUGAUUGUAAUUCUAUAUGAUGUACUGCCCAAACUGAGUCAGCACUCCCUAACUGAGGCUCAGGUGUACAUGGUUUGGGUUUGUGUGACUGUAGGGCGAAGGUCAAGGAGUACACUGCCUACAGGAUACAGGAUUGAGAGGCCCAGCAUGUAAGGCUGCAUACCGCCCUAAAAGACAGCCAAUCUCACUGAGGGAUUUAAAAAAAAUAAAAAAAUAAAUUAGAAAGCCACUAGUCUGUACUUCAUUAAAACACUAUGAUGUUCUCCAUGCAAUGGAUAAUGGUGUUAUCUAUACAAUCUUACUGUAAGGAAAACAUUUAGCUCAUCAGACCCGAGCAGUGUGAAAUGAAGGUAAUUAAUUCACAUUUGUAUUAUCCUUGCAAUACAAGAAAGGUAUUACUUUUCCAAUUUUUAUUUAUGGAUUUGUUAUUGUUGUUGUAAUUUGGGGGAAUAGAAAAUAAGGGAUUUGGUUUGAUUUCUGUUUGUGUUGAAUUGAACUGAUUUUAAUUUAUCUAAACCAAGCAAACACUUGAUAUGACAUUUUAUUCAGUUUCUUUUUAGAUGGCAGUUGCACAGAAACCUCUUGACAGCUAGCUAAUAUUUAAAUAGUAGCAGGUAGCUAGCUAAUAUAAUUUUUUUUUACAUUGGGCAGGUGCAGGAUGUGUGACUUUUUUUUUAGAAUUAUUUUUACACACAGUUUUUUGAAAGAAAUGCAGACAGCCAGCUAUGACUGUAUUUAAAACAACCUCUCUCUCUCUCAGGAAUGGUACACUGCCUUAUAACCAGCUGGUAAACGCUGCCUUUCUCUCUUACAUACACUGCCUUCUCCCAUUGAGAUCCUACACUUCCCCCACUUAGAAACAGUAAACAUACCCCCCACUGCAAAUAGGGCCUGCACAAGCCCCUCCUAAACAGGGGGCCGUUUAAGGGUGAGUGUGUACAAUUUCUAAGAAUUUUAUCUAUGACCAUCAAGGCAUAUCCCAGGCAUGUUUUAAGUGGACAUCGUGGCAGUACAACCAAACAAUUUUCUCAACUUACUUUAUAUUCACGAACCCUGAAUUAAAUAGAACUGUGG
Long non-coding RNA from Ictalurus punctatus (channel catfish), 2938 nucleotides. RefSeq lists it as uncharacterized. NCBI's taxonomy places the organism in Eukaryota, Metazoa, Chordata, Actinopteri, Siluriformes, Ictaluridae. The transcript is spliced from 2 exons. The record is from RefSeq and is a predicted model, not a curated record.